GCAGGGAUGGUGUAACGGCAACACCGCGCUCUCCAAAAGCGUUGUUCUGGGUUCAAAUCCUAGUCCCUGCG
Molecule: transfer RNA, 71 nt
Filed under: Hassallia byssoidea VB512170
Lineage: Bacteria; Bacillati; Cyanobacteriota; Cyanophyceae; Nostocales; Tolypothrichaceae
Also listed under: 2 other names
Description: tRNA-Trp
Rfam family: tRNA
About the family: Transfer RNA (tRNA) molecules are approximately 80 nucleotides in length. Their secondary structure includes four short double-helical elements and three loops (D, anti-codon, and T loops).
Source: RNAcentral